UAUUAUGAGAGUUUGAUCCUGGCUCAGGACGAACGCUGGCGGCGUGCCUAAUACAUGCAAGUCGAACGCUUCUUUCCUCCCGAGUGCUUGCACUCAAUUGGAAAGAGGAGUGGCGGACGGGUGAGUAACACGUGGGUAACCUACCCAUCAGAGGGGGAUAACACUUGGAAACAGGUGCUAAUACCGCAUAACAGUUUAUGCCGCAUGGCAUAAGAGUGAAAGGCGCUUUCGGGUGUCGCUGAUGGAUGGACCCGCGGUGCAUUAGCUAGUUGGUGAGGUAACGGCUCACCAAGGCCACGAUGCAUAGCCGACCUGAGAGGGUGAUCGGCCACACUGGGACUGAGACACGGCCCAGACUCCUACGGGAGGCAGCAGUAGGGAAUCUUCGGCAAUGGACGAAAGUCUGACCGAGCAACGCCGCGUGAGUGAAGAAGGUUUUCGGAUCGUAAAACUCUGUUGUUAGAGAAGAACAAGGACGUUAGUAACUGAACGUCCCCUGACGGUAUCUAACCAGAAAGCCACGGCUAACUACGUGCCAGCAGCCGCGGUAAUACGUAGGUGGCAAGCGUUGUCCGGAU
RNAcentral lists this ribosomal RNA (578 nucleotides) under Streptococcus agalactiae. RNAcentral's name for it is "bacterial SSU rRNA". It matches the Rfam family "Bacterial small subunit ribosomal RNA", at positions 1 to 550 of the family's 1533-position model. RNAcentral also lists the same sequence under 1 other name. Lineage: Bacteria; Bacillati; Bacillota; Bacilli; Lactobacillales; Streptococcaceae. The record is from RNAcentral.